This 85-nucleotide transfer RNA is filed under the name Felis catus (domestic cat). It matches the Rfam family "tRNA". From Rfam's summary of the family: Transfer RNA (tRNA) molecules are approximately 80 nucleotides in length. The record is from Rfam by way of RNAcentral. Lineage: Eukaryota; Metazoa; Chordata; Mammalia; Carnivora; Felidae.
GCCUGGGUGGCUCAGUCAGUUAAGCGUCUGACUUCGGUUCAGGUCAUGAUCUCAUGGUUCGUGGGUUCGACUCCCACGUCAGGCU